AGACUAGAGGGAGACAGACAGCGCCCAACACCUCUGACAGUCAUGUGAUCUCAGACGAGCACCUCCUCAAUCCAGCAGUCACCGCUCACCCUGGACACCCACCCGGCAGCUACACUGCCGGCGCCCCUGUAGGUCCCAUCGGCCAGCCUUACCUGGCCGACCUUCGCCCUCCCCUGACCAAUGGGAGCCACACACCCCUAUCCCAGAAUCCUUUGCCCCAUACGGCCGUACUGUCCAAUGGACCAGGGAGACCCACAGUUAUAGGAACACUCAAUGCGGGACCACCUAAAAAGAGACACAAAGGCUGGUCUCCAGAGUCUUCUGCUGUGAAGACCCCCCCAGCUUCCUCCUCCUCUUCCUCAUCGCUCACCAAUGUUGCCA
Salvelinus namaycush (lake trout) is the source of this 381-nucleotide long non-coding RNA. RefSeq lists it as uncharacterized. The transcript is spliced from 3 exons. The record is from RefSeq and is a predicted model, not a curated record. Lineage: Eukaryota; Metazoa; Chordata; Actinopteri; Salmoniformes; Salmonidae.